CUUGUCUUUAUAAAAUGUAUCCGACUAGACUCUUCAGCUUCUCAGUGAUACUGAUCAGUAUGCAAGUGAAAGUAUGUAACGUACUGUAGGGGUAUCCCCCGUACCACUUAUACCACCAUCUAUACUUUUAUACAGCUAACAGGAUGACAUCACACAUACAGUGACACUCCCACCUGCAGCUCUACGUAUCAACCAUACGAGACUCCGGUAGCUCCUGUCCUGCAGAACAUGGAUAAUCCCAUCAUUAAACGAGGCCUGCUCACAUUGUCAGUCUUUGUGCUGUGGACUACAGGUCUAACUGAUGGGAGUGAUGUCAUCCAGACCUCCAUACUUUGGAAACAACAGGAGGACAGUGCAACAAUGAACUGCAGCCACACCAAGGGUGCUCAGUACUACCAGAUGUACUGGUACAGACAGCUAUCAGGAGAACCAAUGAAACUAAUAGUGUUCACAACAAUAGGCGCCAUCAACAACAACCAUGAUUUUGGAGAUUUCAGCAAAGAGAAAUUCUCAGCCACCAAGACUGAAGCUGAGAGUGGGACAUUCACAGUGAAGAAUCUGGAGCCAGAAGAUAAAGGCUUGUAUUUCUGUGCUGUUUAACUGAUGGGAGUGAUGUCACCCAGACGCCGGACAUACUGUGGGGGGAAAAGGGCGACAGUUCAACAAUGAACUGCAGCCACACCAAG
This is a non-coding RNA of Sander lucioperca (pikeperch), 686 nucleotides long. NCBI's taxonomy places the organism in Eukaryota, Metazoa, Chordata, Actinopteri, Perciformes, Percidae. The record is from the annotation of a RefSeq genome assembly.